This 154-nucleotide ribosomal RNA is filed under the name uncultured Pezizales. RNAcentral's name for it is "5.8S ribosomal RNA". It matches the Rfam family "5.8S ribosomal RNA". From Rfam's summary of the family: 5.8S ribosomal RNA (5.8S rRNA) is a component of the large subunit of the eukaryotic ribosome. It is transcribed by RNA polymerase I as part of the 45S precursor that also contains 18S and 28S rRNA. The record is from RNAcentral. Lineage: Eukaryota; Fungi; Ascomycota; Pezizomycetes; Pezizales.
AACUUUCAGCAACGGAUCUCUUGGUUCUCGCAUCGAUGAAGAACGCAGCGAAAUGCGAUAAGUAGUGUGAAUUGCAGAAUUCAGUGAAUCAUCGAAUCUUUGAACGCACAUUGCGCCUCCCGGCAUUCCGGGAGGCAUGCCUGUCCGAGCACCA